Molecule: unclassified non-coding RNA, 229 nt
Filed under: rhizosphere metagenome
Description: partial ribosomal RNA internal transcribed spacer region
Source: RNAcentral
GUAGGUGAGCCUGCGGAAGGAUCAUUACAGUAGUCAUCCGGGUUGCCGCGAGGCCUCCCGGGUAACCUACCACCCUUUGUUUAUUACACUUUGUUGCUUUGGCAGGCCUGCCCUCGGGCUGCUGGCUCCGGCCGGCGAGCGCCUGCCAGAGGACCUAAACUCUGUUUGUCUAUAUUGUCUGAGUACUAUAUAAUAGUUAAAACUUUCAACAACGGAUCUCUUGGUUCUG